AAACGUGGCCACACCGAAAUGCCAAAUCCUGAUUUUGUCAGAUCUCAGAAGCUUAGCAGGGCCGGGACUGGUUAGUACUUGGAUGGGAGACAGCUGGGAAUGCCAGGUGCCACAAUGA
This 118-nucleotide ribosomal RNA is filed under the name Periophthalmus magnuspinnatus. The record is from RNAcentral. Lineage: Eukaryota; Metazoa; Chordata; Actinopteri; Gobiiformes; Gobiidae.